This 248-nucleotide long non-coding RNA is filed under the name Elaeis guineensis (African oil palm). Its description in RNAcentral is "long non-coding RNA (EGUI_LNC016147)". Lineage: Eukaryota; Viridiplantae; Streptophyta; Magnoliopsida; Arecales; Arecaceae. The record is from RNAcentral.
GGAGCACUGAUCCCAUACCCCAGACCCCUAACAUAACAAGAUCUCGUACCAAGCAUCUGAUCAUAAAUUUCAUCAUUUGUGGGUGCGGUUGAGCCUUUAAAGAUAGGCUAGGAUCUGAUGUCCAUCAUAUGAUCCUAAAAAUUAAAGUUAUAGCUAUUUUAAUUUCGUAUUGAAAAUCAAACUGCGAAUGAAAAAAUUAAUUGAAAAAACUUACAAAAGCUCCUAGCUCCCCAUCGUUCACUCCCCUG